CAGUCCUUGAACGGAAAACUCUUCAUUGUAAACACGUUUUGGCCUGCAAACUUUCGUCUUCCUUAAAUAUGACGAAAGAAAACCUUAUUGAGGACGACCAAUUUUCUAUUAUACUGGGCUAUUAAUGAAGAC
This is a long non-coding RNA of Zophobas morio, 132 nucleotides long. RefSeq lists it as uncharacterized. NCBI's taxonomy places the organism in Eukaryota, Metazoa, Arthropoda, Insecta, Coleoptera, Tenebrionidae. The transcript is spliced from 3 exons. The record is from RefSeq and is a predicted model, not a curated record.